AUGAUUGACAAGGUGAAGCAAGUCACGUGA
Molecule: non-coding RNA, 30 nt
Filed under: Homo sapiens (human)
Lineage: Eukaryota; Metazoa; Chordata; Mammalia; Primates; Hominidae
Source: RNAcentral